CUAAGAAGUUGGGGGCUUUAUGGGCACUUGUUAUGGACAGGGGUGUGGGAUUUACUUACAGGUUUAGUCCUUUUUUCUGUGCUCUAACUGCAUGCCACAGGCUGGUAGUUUAUGAAGAGUACAUGGUUCUGGAAGGCAUUGCAUGCAAUACAGCAAGCAUAUUUGCUUGGGCAGGUUUUCCUCUUUAUAAAAAGCCACUAACACCAUCAUGGGGAGCCCCACCCUCAUGAUCUCAGCUAACCCCAGUUACCAUGAAUUUUUUUAAGCACCAUGAAUUUAUGGCUUUCAGGAUGCAGUUUCCAACACAGGAGAUUUUGGGGGACACAGAUCAAAGCAUAGCACAGCCCCCUUCCCAUCCAAAACUAUAGGACCCACUGAGCUGACUGGAUGGAGGAUGGAAAUCCUCAGCGUCCCUGACUUUAGGUGCAGCGACUUUCAGAGCCCCCAGCAGUGCUGUCGUCUCUGCUGCUCCGGAGGUGGGAGGAGUUGGAAUGAGACUUUCCUUUUCCUUUCUUGGAGGUGUCCUAUAGGAGCCUGGUGAUUGGCUUCUCUUCAAGAGGAAGGGAGAGAAGAGGCAGCGCACGGUGCAUGGAGGGGCAUUGGAGGCUGCAGCUCCCAAAGCCCUGGGGCUGGGUGUGCUGGGAAGGCGUCCUGAGAGGUGGAGGCACAGCGGCCGUGCGGGGCAGACCAGGAGGGACUGGUCAGGCUGAAGGUGGUGAGGCUCGCUGGGGCGGGGAAAGCAGGUGUCAGGCGCGAGGAAAGUCAGGGCGGCGACUCUUCCUCCCCCUGGCGUCCAAGGUUGGUACUACAGUCAAGUUUAGUCCUGGGUACACGGUGGGCCGCAGCUGCCCUCAGAGAUGCCCUCUUGACUUGGACCCAGCUCGCUGCUCCUUUUGUUUCUCUAACGAGGUCCCUGUCCCGUUUGCGGGAAGGGCAAGGCAUGAACGACUUGAGAACAACCAGGGACAAAGAGCAGCAGUGACAGAACUGCACAGUUAGGGGGCAUCUCUGUUCCCCAGCACAGACCCCUCCAGACCUGCCCGGCCACGGAUGGGCAUCUUAGGGACUCGGGGAAGGCAUUUUUGCAAGAAUGGGAACAGCAAAAAUAGCUGCCUUACCCGGGGCUUGUCCUGUGCCAGGAUGAUGUGCCAGGGGCUGUGCAUGUGGUACCUCAGGACCUGCCAGUGUUCUCCACAUUAUGGAGGAGCCUGGAGCCCAGAGAUGUUAGGGAAUCUGCACAUAGUAACACAGCUGUGAAGAAAAAGUAGCUAGGUGUGGAGAUGCGUGCCUAUAAUCCCAGUUACUCUGGAAGCUGAGGCAGGAGGAUUAUAAAUGUGAGACUUGUCUGGGCAACUUAGUGACAGCCUGUCUCAAAAAAAAAAAAAUUUAAAAGGGGUCAGGAAUGUGGCUCAGUGGUAGAGCACUUGGCUAGCAUGCAUGAGGCCCUGGGCUCAAUCUCCAGCAUGCAGAGAGAGAGACAGAGAGAGAGAGAGAGAGAGAGAGAGAGACAGACAGACAGACAGAGACAGGAAUUCUGCUACAUACCCAUCUGGCCCCAGACUACUGCUCCUGUUGUAGCUCCCACAGUCUCCCUUGGGAAGGUCAUGCUUAAACCAACCAGCAGAUACAUUCAUACAUGCCCCAGUUACCCAUGAAGUCAUCAUGAGUGCCGCCCACCACGUUCCAGCUGCUUCUGGGCACCGGGAGGGAGUGCGAAUCCUGCCCUCCUGGAGUGAGAAACUGCCAUUUGCUGCAGUUGGAACAAGUGUCCCCCAGAGGCCUGUGUGUCCAUGGCCCGUGUGUCCCUGGGAGGUGUGAGACCUUUAGGAGGCAGGACCUUGUUGGAAACCUUCCCAUCAUAAGAGGGUGUGCUCUUAGGGGACACAGUGGGACCCUGGCUCUCAUGAUGCACUGGGUCUCAUCCAAAAGUGAGAGGGCCCACUGACCAUGGCCAAGAUUUCCAACACUCAGCAUAAACCUUCGGCCCUGCCACAGGAGCACCUCAGGAGUGCUGUCCUGGUGAGGGGACUAACACGGUACACGAGUGACUUCCGUGACUGAGGAAAUGAAAGCAGAAGCUUUACUCAUGGCACCGUGAGACUUCAAAACGAUCACCGGGGAGCAACCAGCAGAGCUGGCUGCUUUUCCCGCUUCUCGGUGACACGGCCAGUAACAGCACAAAGCCUGGAGCAAAUAAACAAAACUAACCUACCCUGGC
Molecule: long non-coding RNA, 2218 nt
Organism: Cavia porcellus (domestic guinea pig)
Lineage: Eukaryota; Metazoa; Chordata; Mammalia; Rodentia; Caviidae
Exons: 2
Source: RefSeq, a predicted model, not a curated record